This is a non-coding RNA of Ictidomys tridecemlineatus (thirteen-lined ground squirrel), 823 nucleotides long. The record is from RefSeq and is a predicted model, not a curated record. Lineage: Eukaryota; Metazoa; Chordata; Mammalia; Rodentia; Sciuridae.
GAAUGGAGGGAUGGUGAGGAAAGGAAGAAAGAAAGGAGGAUGGGGAAAGAGAAACCCAAAGAGGGGCGGGGGAGUGGGAAGGAAAGCUAUGAUGUAUGGACGCUCGCCAGCCACCCAGCUAAGCGCUCCAUCACCCCCAAGCCUGCAUCCCUCCCUCCCAGGUCUAGAGACGCGGGGCUCCCGGGCGCUGACAGCCCUCCCGGUGACCCCAGCGCGGGCAACCCCGUGAUGUCCAAAGUAGCCCACUGCAGCCAGCCCAUCCGAGCCCGCCACUCCCUGGACCGCGCUCGCCUCCCCGCCCCCGACUUCUCCCGGCGCCCCCAUCUCUAGUCUCGGGAAAAAGCCGAGAAGAGCGCAGCAAAGGGGAGGGGGGAAAUCCAAAAGGGGAGGGAGCGGGAGCGGGGGAGGCAACAAAAAAUUUUUUAUUAAUCAUCCGAUAAUGGAUCCUGGGGAAGCACCAGGGGAGGGGACCCGUGGUAAGCACCUGGGAAGGAACACGCUGUUGCCAAUACCCCGGGCUCCGCGGGGCUGGGCGAUUUUCCACAAAAGGAACUUUGGAAGGAGCGCAGCGGUUUGCAAUGGAAGAGAAAUAGAUGGCAGCGUUACCUGGCCGAGGUCAUGCCCGCGGGCCGCCGAAAUCCUCAGAUGCUGAUGGUGCUACAGAUCCAGGGACCACAGUUUGAGAAAUACUGUCCCAUUAUGUACCAGGCCCUUCAAUUAAACACUGAGAAUCUUGAGAACUGUUUUGUUUUCAAAAGGAACCUAUCCCAACAGAAAACCAAAUUUUGUACUUCUAUCAAUAAAACAACUUAUAAGAAGAAAA